Small nucleolar RNA from Myotis lucifugus (little brown bat), 124 nucleotides. Ensembl annotates it as small nucleolar RNA SNORA26. Lineage: Eukaryota; Metazoa; Chordata; Mammalia; Chiroptera; Vespertilionidae. The record is from Ensembl.
AUACACCCAGAAUGUAUAAAGAAUUCCUACUUAAGAGGCUAACACAGAGGGUAAAGCAAGUCUCCAUAAAACCCAAAGAAGAGAUGGUAAAACUCCUCUUUGGAUCCUGUCUGGAGUCACAGCU